RNAcentral lists this microRNA (22 nucleotides) under Bombyx mori (domestic silkworm). RNAcentral describes it as "bmo-miR-278-5p". Its record names the gene bmo-miR-278-5p. The record is from miRBase by way of RNAcentral. Lineage: Eukaryota; Metazoa; Arthropoda; Insecta; Lepidoptera; Bombycidae.
CCGGACGAACUUCCCAGCUCGG